This 219-nucleotide long non-coding RNA is filed under the name Cottoperca gobio. RNAcentral describes it as "lncRNA (ENSCGOG00000007740.1)". The record is from RNAcentral. Lineage: Eukaryota; Metazoa; Chordata; Actinopteri; Perciformes; Bovichtidae.
AGUAUUUAAGGACAUUUGGAUCCUUGGUUAUCCAACAAUGAAUAUAGAUCUGCUUGUUCUUUCUUAUUAAUAACUGGCUCAGACUUUGGAUUAAACUUGAAGAUUUCUCUCACUUUACUCAUGGAUAACUUCCUGCUUCUUUCUGAAUCGUUCGGGCAGAACUACCCAGAGGUAAGACACCAGCUCUUAGCACAAUACAUGAGCGUGUUAGAAGCCCGG